AGCAGCCGCGGUAAUUCCAGCUCCAAUAGCGUAUAUUAAAGUUGUUGCAGUUAAAAAGCUCGUAGUUGAAUUUCGGGGUCAGUAGGUUGGUCAUGCCACUGGUAUGUACUGGUCUCACUGAUUCCUCCUUCCUGAUGAACUGUAAUGCCAUUAAUUUGGUGUUGCAGGGAAUCUGGACUGUUACUUUGAAAAAUUAGAGUGUUUAAAGCAGGCUAACGCCUGAAUACAUUAGCAUGGAAUAAUGAAAUAGGACGUUCGAUCCUAUUUUGUUGGUUUCUAGGAUUGACGUAAUGAUUAAUAGGGAUAGUUGGGGGCAUUAGUAUUCAAUUGUCAGAGGUGAAAUUCUUGGAUUUAUUGAAGACUAACUACUGCGAAAGCAUUUGCCAAGGAUGUUUUCAUUAAUCAAGAACGAAAGUUAGGGGAUCGAAGACGAUCAGAUACCGUCGUAGUCUUAACCAUAAACUAUGCCGACUAGGGAUCGGAUGAUGUUAAUUUUUUAAUGACUCAUUC
Molecule: ribosomal RNA, 510 nt
Filed under: uncultured Glomeromycotina
Lineage: Eukaryota; Fungi; Glomeromycota
Description: SSU rRNA
Rfam family: Eukaryotic small subunit ribosomal RNA
Source: RNAcentral